UGGGGAAUAUUGCACAAUGGGCGCAAGCCUGAUGCAGCCAUGCCGCGUGUAUGAAGAAGGCCUUCGGGUUGUAAAGUACUUUCAGCGAGGAGGAAGGCGAUAAGGUUAAUAACCUUGUCGAUUGACGUUACUCGCAGAAGAAGCACCGGCUAACUCCGUGCCAGCAGCCGCGGUAAUACGGAGGGUGCAAGCGUUAAUCGGAAUUACUGGGCGUAAAGCGCACGCAGGCGGUCUGUCAAGUCGGAUGUGAAAUCCCCCGGGCUCAACCUGGGAACUGCAUCCGAAACUGGCAGGCUAGAGUCUUGUAGA
RNAcentral lists this ribosomal RNA (309 nucleotides) under uncultured Enterobacter sp. RNAcentral describes it as "bacterial SSU rRNA". It matches the Rfam family "Bacterial small subunit ribosomal RNA", at positions 355 to 655 of the family's 1533-position model. Lineage: Bacteria; Pseudomonadati; Pseudomonadota; Gammaproteobacteria; Enterobacterales; Enterobacteriaceae. The record is from RNAcentral.